UACGAAGGGGGCUAGCGUUGUUCGGAAUCACUGGGCGUAAAGGGCGCGUAGGCGGCUGUUCAAGUCGGGGGUGAAAUCCCGUGGCUCAACCACGGAAUGGCCUUCGAUACUGGACGGCUGGAGACCGGAAGAGGUGAGUGGAACUGCGAGUGUAGAGGUGAAAUUCGUAGAUAUUCGCAAGAACACCAGUGGCGAAGGCGGCUCACUGGUCCGGUAUUGACGCUGAGGCGCGAAAGCCAGGGGAGCAAACGGG
RNAcentral lists this ribosomal RNA (253 nucleotides) under uncultured bacterium. Its description in RNAcentral is "partial 16S ribosomal RNA". It matches the Rfam family "Bacterial small subunit ribosomal RNA", at positions 524 to 776 of the family's 1533-position model. The record is from RNAcentral.